GGGCUUGUAGCACAGUGGUAGCGCGCACGCUUUGCACCGGACAGGGGUUUCUCCUUAGUCCAAUUUGUAUGCGUGAGGUCUUGGGUUCGAUCCCCAACUGGUCCA
Molecule: transfer RNA, 105 nt
Organism: Sphaerulina musiva SO2202
Lineage: Eukaryota; Fungi; Ascomycota; Dothideomycetes; Mycosphaerellales; Mycosphaerellaceae
Rfam family: tRNA
About the family: Transfer RNA (tRNA) molecules are approximately 80 nucleotides in length. Their secondary structure includes four short double-helical elements and three loops (D, anti-codon, and T loops). Further hydrogen bonds mediate the characteristic L-shaped molecular structure. tRNAs have two regions of fundamental functional importance: the anti-codon, which is responsible for specific mRNA codon recognition, and the 3' end, to which the tRNAs corresponding amino acid is attached (by aminoacyl-tRNA synthetases). tRNAs cope with the degeneracy of the genetic code in two manners: having more than one tRNA (with a specific anti-codon) for a particular amino acid; and 'wobble' base-pairing, i.e. permitting non-standard base-pairing at the 3rd anti-codon position.
Source: Rfam